GUCGAUUAUGAUGGAGGAACAUCGAACCCAACUUCAUUGAUUCUUCAAAACAGUAACCCGACCAUCAUUGAGGUUAACCCAACAACCCUUCAACCAAACGUUUAUCCCUAGUGUGUUUUGUCCCGGUGAUGAAGAGCUCCAGCAGUGUCAACGAUGGGUGAUGCGAAUUCCAACAACUUCAAUGGACGAUCGGCGUUUUGGACUUCUUUUUGGAGAUCUCAACGGUGGGGAUGUAUCAUUUGGCAGCGAGAAUGACAUAAAUAAAAUCUAGCUUCAUCAGACGGUGACCGACGAUGAUAUAGAUGAUUUUAAUUCAAGAAAAAUCGAAUGGUUUUCGGUAGAUCUAUGACCAUUCAUGAGGUUUCUCGAUGAACAGAGGACAUAUUCAUAGAGAGAAGACCAAGGCGCUUCGAACGAUGAAAAUUAGGUCUUGAACGAUGACUGAAGGCGGCGACCGACGUGGUGGUCAUAGGCGUCUUGCUAUUGUCGGCAAAGCUUCUUGUUCCAUUUACAGAGCACUUGGUGGAAAGUGCUCAAUGAAAGAAUGAAUUAUAAGAAAUUUAUGGUGAUGCGUGAAGAACAAAAGCAUAAAAUGAAUAAUCAAAACUACGUAGUUUUGUGGUGUUUGGAAUUGGAGAUGGGCAAACCAUAAUUUAAGUCCUCUAUUUUUGGUUCGGGUUCUUGUGGAAAAGAUUGGAAGCUAGAAAUUGAGUUGGCGAGCUUUAAUUGAAGAGUUAUUGUUUGGGUUUUAUUGACGUCCUGAGUCCGAUUCCGAAGUCCGUUUCGCCAAAUUUGAAUCCGGAAUUAUUGGAAGUUGAAUUAAAGAUCGAGGGCG
Molecule: long non-coding RNA, 835 nt
Organism: Hibiscus syriacus
Lineage: Eukaryota; Viridiplantae; Streptophyta; Magnoliopsida; Malvales; Malvaceae
Exons: 4
Source: RefSeq, a predicted model, not a curated record